GAAAUGCGAUACGUAAUGUGAAUUGCAGAAUUCAGUGAAUCAUCGAAUCUUUGAACGCACCUUGCGCCCCUUGGCAUUCCGAGGGGCACACCCGUUUGAGUGUCGUGAAAUCCUCAAAACCCUUUUUCUUGUUAUCGGAAUCGGGGUUUUGGACUUGGAGGCUCMAUGCUYGCUUUUGCUUUCGAAAGCGAGCUCCUCUUAAAUGAAUUAGUGGGGUCCGCUUUGUCGAUCCUUGACGUGAUAAGAUGUUUCUACGUUUUGGAUUUGGCACCGUUUUCUCCGCUCCUAACCGUCCGUCCCAUGGACAACGAUGGUGCUUCGGUCCCUGCCGUCUACUUUGGCGGGAGGCUGGGCCCACAAAAACGACCUUGACCUCAAAUCGGGUGAGACUACCCGCUGAACUUAA
This 406-nucleotide ribosomal RNA is filed under the name Russula sp. 313-384. RNAcentral's name for it is "eukaryotic LSU rRNA". The stretch from base 1 to 105 matches the Rfam family "5.8S ribosomal RNA", at positions 50 to 154 of the family's 154-position model. The record is from RNAcentral. Lineage: Eukaryota; Fungi; Basidiomycota; Agaricomycetes; Russulales; Russulaceae.